Molecule: long non-coding RNA, 755 nt
Filed under: Manihot esculenta (cassava)
Lineage: Eukaryota; Viridiplantae; Streptophyta; Magnoliopsida; Malpighiales; Euphorbiaceae
Description: long non-coding RNA (MESC_LNC003066)
Source: RNAcentral
AUUUUUCAUCACUUUUCAGAAAAUCCCUUAUUCUCUUCCACUUUCUCUCUAGCGAAACAAGAUAAAUUUAUUCUUUUUAUCUCAUUCUCUUACAUAUUUAUGCCAAAUACCAAUUAAAAGGGGAAAAACAAGAUUUGCACAAAGAAAUAUAAUCAACACAAUACAGAUAUAAACAUAUGCAAGAUUAAAGUAACACAAUACAAAAAACUACAAAUAUCACCACACAAUGAUCUAUGAAAUUGAAGAUGAACACACAACACGAUCAUGCUAGAGCAAUGUCAUUGUGAUGUUGGGUCUGUACUAUUGCAUCUUGGAGACCGUUGCAUCUGUGUUGUUAAGCUGUUGCGACGGCCGACUGCUGGAUUUAUACUGUUGUGUCGUUAAUGCUGGGACUGUGUUAAUGUUCGCUGCGACGCCUGGAUUCAUUUGGUUGUUGUCCGGACUGCCAACUAUUGGAUUUGUACUGAUGUGUAGCCAACGAUGGAGCUGUGCUGAUGUUCGUUGCGACGCUUGCAUUUAUUUUGUUGCCUUCCGUAGGCCGCUUGCUGUCUUGCUGCUACUGCGACGAUGGAGGCCACCUGGAGUCAAGCUGGUACUGCGAUGCUAGGGCUGCACCACCUAUGACGCUUAGCUAUGGUGUUGUACUCCAACGAUAAAUUUUUUCUUAAAUCAUGUAUUUGAUUUCAACAAUGGAGGAAGAGAAAGGGUAUGGAAGUAGGCGGCGGCGACAGAGAAUAAGAUGAACUAGAAUUUCU